Molecule: transfer RNA, 74 nt
Filed under: bacterium
Lineage: Bacteria
Also listed under: 3 other names
Description: tRNA-Met
Rfam family: tRNA
About the family: Transfer RNA (tRNA) molecules are approximately 80 nucleotides in length. Their secondary structure includes four short double-helical elements and three loops (D, anti-codon, and T loops). Further hydrogen bonds mediate the characteristic L-shaped molecular structure. tRNAs have two regions of fundamental functional importance: the anti-codon, which is responsible for specific mRNA codon recognition, and the 3' end, to which the tRNAs corresponding amino acid is attached (by aminoacyl-tRNA synthetases). tRNAs cope with the degeneracy of the genetic code in two manners: having more than one tRNA (with a specific anti-codon) for a particular amino acid; and 'wobble' base-pairing, i.e. permitting non-standard base-pairing at the 3rd anti-codon position.
Source: RNAcentral
CGCGGGGUGGAGCAGUCUGGUAGCUCGUUGGGCUCAUAACCCAAAGGUCGGAGGUUCAAAUCCUCCCCCCGCUA